UUUUUGCACUAAGGAUUGCAAUGGCAUCCUUUUUUUGAGGCACGAAAAAAAAGAUAUAAUGGAAAGCCUGGUCCCGU
This is a non-coding RNA of Tenacibaculum dicentrarchi, 77 nucleotides long. Lineage: Bacteria; Pseudomonadati; Bacteroidota; Flavobacteriia; Flavobacteriales; Flavobacteriaceae. The record is from Rfam.